AUGACGCCUCCUCAAUGCGUCGCUGCCUCCGGACGUGACGCCGGUCUCCUCCGCGACCCCUUACUGCCACCAUCCUCCUCUUCGCCUCUAGCUGCCCAGAUGCCUGACGGCAGCGGUAGCGUGCCUAUCAUUCAUGGGCGGCUAGACGUCCAGAUUCAUCUCUCUCUCUCUCUCUCUCUCUCUCUCUCUCUCUCUCUCAGCAAGCAAACCAUGAAGGAUUUGGGACUGCUUGGGCGUCGAACAAAAAACCAUGAAAGAUCUGGAUUUACAUUGUUUUAUCAUGGUAUGGUGUUCUUUAUUUUCGCAGGAAGUGCUCCAGUGGAAACACAUCUCAAAUUCCAGGUGUGCAACCAUCUAUUAUUGUUGAUUUUAAGGUUCCUGCAAAUUUGGUUUAAGAGAUGUCUACGUCUAGCUGGGCUCCAAGAAAGGAGAUUCUUUGUUGUCCUUUUAGGUUUGUUGGCUACCUCGGUUAAGUUUUUGCAUGUGAAUUUUUGUUUGUUCCUAUCCAAUAGAUGCUCAUAUCUAGCUAGAUUCGUAGGAUGUUUUGUUGCCUUUCUUAGUUUGUUUGGUACUUUCUUCUUUCUUUGGCGAUGA
Molecule: ribosomal RNA, 594 nt
Filed under: Triticum aestivum (bread wheat)
Lineage: Eukaryota; Viridiplantae; Streptophyta; Magnoliopsida; Poales; Poaceae
Description: partial small subunit ribosomal RNA
Source: RNAcentral